This 253-nucleotide ribosomal RNA is filed under the name uncultured Bacteroidota bacterium. Its description in RNAcentral is "uncultured Bacteroidetes bacterium partial 16S ribosomal RNA". It matches the Rfam family "Bacterial small subunit ribosomal RNA", at positions 524 to 776 of the family's 1533-position model. Lineage: Bacteria; Pseudomonadati; Bacteroidota. The record is from RNAcentral.
UACGGAGGAUGCAAGCGUUAUCCGGAUUUAUUGGGUUUAAAGGGUCCGUAGGCGGGCGUAUAAGUCAGGGGUGAAAUCCGACAGCUUAACUGUCGAACUGCCUUUGAAACUGUAUGUCUUGAGUGAGAUUGAAGCAGCUGGAAUGUGUAGUGUAGCGGUGAAAUGCAUAGAUAUUACACAGAACACCGAUAGCGUAGGCAGGUUGCUAAGUCUUUACUGACGCUGAUGGACGAAAGCGUGGGGAGCAAACAGG